RNAcentral lists this ribosomal RNA (492 nucleotides) under uncultured bacterium. RNAcentral describes it as "partial 16S ribosomal RNA". It matches the Rfam family "Bacterial small subunit ribosomal RNA", at positions 29 to 507 of the family's 1533-position model. The record is from RNAcentral.
AGUGAACGCUGGCGGUGGGCCUAACACAUGCAAGUCGAACGGCAGCACAGUAAGAGCUUGCUCUUACGGGUGGCGAGUGGCGGACGGGUGAGGAAUACAUCGGAAUCUACUUUUUCGUGGGGGAUAACGUAGGGAAACUUACGCUAAUACCGCAUACGACCUACGGGUGAAAGCAGGGGAUCUUCGGACCUUGCGCGAUUGAAUGAGCCGAUGUCGGAUUAGCUAGUUGGCGGGGUAAAGGCCCACCAAGGCGACGAUCCGUAGCUGGUCUGAGAGGAUGAUCAGCCACACUGGAACUGAGACACGGUCCAGACUCCUACGGGAGGCAGCAGUGGGGAAUAUUGGACAAUGGGCGCAAGCCUGAUCCAGCCAUACCGCGUGGGUGAAGAAGGCCUUCGGGUUGUAAAGCCCUUUCGUUGGGAAAGAAAAGCAGCAGGUUAAUACCCCGCUGUUCUGACGGUACCCAAAGAAUAAGCACCGGCUAACUUCGUG